CCUCAGUCUCCUCUCAAGAGGAACCACUGCUGUUCUUUGCUUGGAGCCCUUAGAUUCCCCCUCACUUUUAUUGAAGACAGAGGCAUUGUGACGCUCGUCUCUUAAGUCCGCAGCCACCCAGCCACAUGAGGGAGCCCAGCAAGGAAAAAUGGCAAGGUAUGCUUCUCUCUCCUUGGAAUUUAGAGUGGAUGACUUCCCUUGGGGACCACCCAAGCCACUCCCUUCUCCAAAAGGAGAUAGAGGAGGACAGAGUGACAGCUAGGCAGAAAGCAUGUGGGUUAUACGAAGAUAUUAUGGUGAAUGUGCUAAAUAAUUUAAAAGAUAUUGCCAAGGGUGCCAUGUGCAGGCUGACUGGAGGAGAGCCAGAUGCCAGCCCUCUACUGUGAGUUGGCGCCACUCACGGACCACGGAGGAGGAAAACAAGAAUUAACAAGAAGCUAAGACCUCCUGCAAGCUGGUGCCAUGUGCAGGCAGACUGGGAGCGAGUCAGACGCC
Molecule: long non-coding RNA, 495 nt
Filed under: Cavia porcellus (domestic guinea pig)
Lineage: Eukaryota; Metazoa; Chordata; Mammalia; Rodentia; Caviidae
Description: lncRNA (ENSCPOG00000040790.1)
Source: RNAcentral